GAUGAACGCUGGCGGCGUGCCUAAUACAUGCAAGUCGAGCGAACAGACGAGGAGCUUGCUCCUCUGACGUUAGCGGAGGGCGGGUGAGUAACACGUGUAUAACCUACUUAUAAGACGGGGAUAACUUCGGGAAACCGGCGCUAAUACCGGAUAAUAUACUGAACCGCAUGGUGCAAUAGUGAAAUACGGUUUUGCUGUCACUUAUAGAGGGAUCCGCGCCGCAUUAGCUAGUUGGUAAGGUAACGGCUUACGAAGGCAACGAUGCGUGGCCGAGCUGAGAGGGUGAUCGGCCACACUGGAACUGAGACACGGUCCAGACUCCUGCGGGAGGCAGCAGUAGGGAAUCUUCCGCAAUGGGCGAAAGCUUGACGGAGCAACGCCGCGUGAGUGAUGAAGGUCUUCGGAUCGUAAAACUCUGUUAUUAGGGAAGAACAAAUGUGUAAGUAACUAUGCACGUCUUGACGGUACCUAAUCAGAAAGCCCCGGCUAACUACGUG
Molecule: ribosomal RNA, 497 nt
Filed under: uncultured bacterium
Lineage: Bacteria
Description: partial 16S ribosomal RNA
Rfam family: Bacterial small subunit ribosomal RNA
Source: RNAcentral